RNAcentral lists this ribosomal RNA (298 nucleotides) under uncultured bacterium. Its description in RNAcentral is "partial 16S ribosomal RNA". It matches the Rfam family "Bacterial small subunit ribosomal RNA", at positions 475 to 776 of the family's 1533-position model. The record is from RNAcentral.
CUAUGCGCCUUGCCAGCCCGCUCAGGUGUGCCAGCCGCCGCGGUAAUACGGAGGAUGCGAGCGUUAUCCGGAUUUAUUGGGUUUAAAGGGUGCGUAGGCGGUCCGUUAAGUCAGCGGUAAAAUUGCGGGGCUCAACCCCGUCGAGCCGUUGAAACUGGCAGACUUGAGUUGGCGAGAAGUACGCGGAAUGCGCGGUGUAGCGGUGAAAUGCAUAGAUAUCGCGCAGAACUCCGACUGCGAAGGCAGCGUACCGGCGCCACACUGACGCUGAGGCACGAAAGCGUGGGGAUCGAACAGG